This is a long non-coding RNA of Camarhynchus parvulus, 195 nucleotides long. RefSeq lists it as uncharacterized. Lineage: Eukaryota; Metazoa; Chordata; Aves; Passeriformes; Thraupidae. The record is from RefSeq and is a predicted model, not a curated record. The transcript has 3 exons.
GAGGCUGAGAAGAAGAAGAAGAAAAAUCUCAAAAAGGAAAAACCCAAAGGGAAGAAACAGGGGAAAUGCCCCAGCGAUGAGGAUGAGGCCGAAGGCUCCGAGGAGGCUCCGGGCAGGAAGAACAAGUUCGGGGCCCUGAGGGACGAGGAUGAGGAAGAGGAGGAGGAAGGAGCCCGGAAGGGGAGCGAGAACGUG